RNAcentral lists this unclassified non-coding RNA (257 nucleotides) under Hevea brasiliensis (rubber tree). The record is from RNAcentral. Lineage: Eukaryota; Viridiplantae; Streptophyta; Magnoliopsida; Malpighiales; Euphorbiaceae.
UAAUUAAAAGGUUAUCUAGAAGCAUGCUUGUAUGUUAUAAUUAAAUAUAAGAACUAUGUAGUCAAAGAUGUUGUGUCAAUGUAAUACAUAGGUUUAGAUUUUGCCGAUUCAUUUUUUAUGUGCAUUUGCAUCUGUCAUGUAGAUGGAAUUGAUAUUCUAUUUUCUGUCGUACAUAAAAUCUCAAAUUAGAUUGGAAUUAAUCAAGAAAUUUUCUUGAAUCAAUGUGGUCAUGCUUUAAACAUUGCUUCUGUUACAAA